Molecule: long non-coding RNA, 334 nt
Organism: Ciona intestinalis (vase tunicate)
Lineage: Eukaryota; Metazoa; Chordata; Ascidiacea; Phlebobranchia; Cionidae
Source: RefSeq, a predicted model, not a curated record
GUGGAAUUAUCGGGUAUUGAGAAUAUAAAAAGCGACCACACCAGCCACACAAUCAUCAACGCAUUCCAGACAAAUCUCAACGAAAUGGAUGGAAAGAUUGUUUUUGCUCUUCUUCUCUUGAUGUCUCUUCAAGCCUCCGUGGUCUUCGGACAUUGGAAUGAACGCAAAGGUGCCGAGCCGGAGUUUCCACCUGUACUGGGCAUGGAUUCAUACUACAAUAAGGAUGCAAAUGACGGAUGGUGGAAGAAUGCAGAAGAUAUAUGGGUUUGGAAACAAUAAGAGUCAACUUCCAGUGAACUUAUCAUUGGAUGAAAUAUUGACUCAAUAAACGGAU